This is a long non-coding RNA of Sinocyclocheilus rhinocerous, 111 nucleotides long. RefSeq lists it as uncharacterized. Lineage: Eukaryota; Metazoa; Chordata; Actinopteri; Cypriniformes; Cyprinidae. The transcript has 3 exons. The record is from RefSeq and is a predicted model, not a curated record.
GCCUCCAAAUCCCCCUCAUUUCCUUCCUACACUAAGACUGGCCUGACUAGGCUCCAGUCUGCAGAGUUCUCCUCUUCAAACAGUGAUAAAGGGAGUCAAAAGUUCCAGAAU